RNAcentral lists this ribosomal RNA (253 nucleotides) under uncultured bacterium. Its description in RNAcentral is "partial 16S ribosomal RNA". It matches the Rfam family "Bacterial small subunit ribosomal RNA", at positions 524 to 776 of the family's 1533-position model. The record is from RNAcentral.
UACAGAGGGGGCAAGCGUUGUUCGGAAUUACUGGGCGUAAAGGGCGCGUAGGCGGCCUGCUAAGUCGAACGUGAAAUCCCCGGGCUCAACCCGGGAACUGCGUCCGAUACUGGUUGGCUUGAAUCCGGGAGAGGGAUGCGGAAUUCCAGGUGUAGUGGUGAAAUGCAUAGAUAUGACCCGGAACACCGAUUGCGAAGGCAGCCCACUAAGCAAUGAUUGACGCUGAGGCACGAAAGCGUGGGGAUCAAACAGG